Molecule: ribosomal RNA, 497 nt
Filed under: uncultured bacterium
Lineage: Bacteria
Description: partial 16S ribosomal RNA
Rfam family: Bacterial small subunit ribosomal RNA
Source: RNAcentral
GAUGAACGCUGGCGGCGUGCCUAAUACAUGCAAGUCGAGCGAACAGACGAGGAGCUUGCUCCUCUGACGUUAGCGGCGGACGGGUGAGUAACACGUGGAUAACCUACCUAUAAGACUGGGAUAACUUCGGGAAACCGGAGCUAAUACCGGAUAAUAUAUUGAACCGCAUGGUUCAAUAGUGAAAGACGGUUUUGCUGUCACUUAUAGAUGGAUCCGCGCCGCAUUAGCUAGUUGGUAAGGUAACGGCUUACCAAGGCGACGAUGCGUAGCCGACCUGAGAGGGUGAACGGCCACACUGGAACUGAGACACGGUCCAGACUCCUACGGGGGGCAGCAGUAGGGAAUCUUCCGCAAUGGGCGAAAGCCUGACGGAGCAACGCCGCGUGAGUGAUGAAGGUCUUCGGAUCGUAAAACUCUGUUAUUAGGGAAGAACAAAUGUGUAAGUAACUAUGCACGUCUUGACGGUACCUAAUCAGAAAGCCACGGCUAACUACGUG